AGGGAGCGUCAACUAUGUUAAAUGCGCGUGUGCAAGGCUAAAGUCUACAAAACUUAGUCCACUCUGUACAUAAUAAAUUCUAUUUUUGGGAACAGAAAACUGUAUUAAGAUCAAAUGUUUAAUCGAUGACAACAUUUGCAGAAUGUAGGCCAAAAUCCAUCUCGUUCCAUCUUCUCCCAUUGCGCGUAAGUGGGCUUUCUCUCACUUCCGUAGAAACGCCAAGUGGAUGAAUUUCACCACCACGCGGAAGCACCGCGGUUGUACAGUACUAGCAUAGAAAGAAAGUGUGGCUGCCCCAAAGAGACAUGUAGGUGAACAGUGGAGACGGAUAUGAAGGACUGUGGUCUGUCAUGGAACACCAUCUCCAGACAGAAGCCUUAUGUCCUAAAUAGGAAUUAAGCAAGGAAGUAUUCUGUCAUCGAAUAUUAAUUCUCAUAUCCAUGGCUUUGAAAACUUUUAUUAAAUUUGACAACAACAGCA
This is a long non-coding RNA of Oncorhynchus masou masou (cherry salmon), 480 nucleotides long. RefSeq lists it as uncharacterized. NCBI's taxonomy places the organism in Eukaryota, Metazoa, Chordata, Actinopteri, Salmoniformes, Salmonidae. The record is from RefSeq and is a predicted model, not a curated record. The transcript is spliced from 2 exons.